GCUCCCAUGGCGUACUGCGCUCGCCUUGCACGCGGGAGGCCCGGGUUCGAUUCCCGGCGGGGUCA
Molecule: transfer RNA, 65 nt
Filed under: Diaphorina citri (Asian citrus psyllid)
Lineage: Eukaryota; Metazoa; Arthropoda; Insecta; Hemiptera; Psyllidae
Rfam family: tRNA
About the family: Transfer RNA (tRNA) molecules are approximately 80 nucleotides in length. Their secondary structure includes four short double-helical elements and three loops (D, anti-codon, and T loops). Further hydrogen bonds mediate the characteristic L-shaped molecular structure. tRNAs have two regions of fundamental functional importance: the anti-codon, which is responsible for specific mRNA codon recognition, and the 3' end, to which the tRNAs corresponding amino acid is attached (by aminoacyl-tRNA synthetases). tRNAs cope with the degeneracy of the genetic code in two manners: having more than one tRNA (with a specific anti-codon) for a particular amino acid; and 'wobble' base-pairing, i.e. permitting non-standard base-pairing at the 3rd anti-codon position.
Source: Rfam by way of RNAcentral